This 634-nucleotide ribosomal RNA is filed under the name Lactococcus sp. MYb225. Its description in RNAcentral is "bacterial SSU rRNA". It matches the Rfam family "Bacterial small subunit ribosomal RNA", at positions 64 to 683 of the family's 1533-position model. The record is from RNAcentral. Lineage: Bacteria; Bacillati; Bacillota; Bacilli; Lactobacillales; Streptococcaceae.
GAUGAUUAGAGAUAGCUUGCUAUCUUUAUGAAGAGCGGCGAACGGGUGAGUAACGCGUGGGAAAUCUGCCGAGUAGCGGGGGACAACGUUUGGAAACGAACGCUAAUACCGCAUAACAAUGAGGAUCGCAUGAUUCUUAUUUAAAAGAAGCAAUUGCUUCACUACUUGAUGAUCCCGCGUUGUAUUAGCUAGUUGGUAGUGUAAAGGACUACCAAGGCGAUGAUACAUAGCCGACCUGAGAGGGUGAUCGGCCACACUGGGACUGAGACACGGCCCAGACUCCUACGGGAGGCAGCAGUAGGGAAUCUUCGGCAAUGGGGGCAACCCUGACCGAGCAACGCCGCGUGAGUGAAGAAGGUUUUCGGAUCGUAAAACUCUGUUGUUAGAGAAGAACGUUAAGUAGAGUGGAAAGUUACUUAAGUGACGGUAUCUAACCAGAAAGGGACGGCUAACUACGUGCCAGCAGCCGCGGUAAUACGUAGGUCCCAAGCGUUGUCCGGAUUUAUUGGGCGUAAAGCGAGCGCAGGUGGUUUCUUAAGUCUGAUGUAAAAGGCAGUGGCUCAACCAUUGUGUGCAUUGGAAACUGGGAGACUUGAGUGCAGGAGAGGAGAGUGGAAUUCCAUGUGUAGCGGUG